GAUGAAGAACGUAGCGAAAUGCGAUAAGUAAUGUGAAUUGCAGAGUUCAGUGAAUCAUCGAAUCUUUGAACGCACAUUGCGCCCGUCAGUAUUCUGACGGGUAUGCCUGUCCGAGCGUCAUUUCAACCCUCAAGCACUGCUUGGCGUUGGCGGAUUGCGUGCCCUCGCGGCGCUGCAACCGCCCAAAUACAGUGGCGGUCCCGCUGCGGCUCCCUUUGCGUAGUAACUCACCUCGCACUGGACCGGGCGGCGGCCUGCCGUAAAACCCCAACUCACGAAAUGUUGACCUCGGAUCAGGUAGGAAUACCCGCUGAACUUAAGCAUAUCAAUAAGCGGAGGA
Molecule: unclassified non-coding RNA, 340 nt
Filed under: soil metagenome
Description: partial contains 5.8S ribosomal RNA, internal transcribed spacer 2, and large subunit ribosomal RNA
Rfam family: 5.8S ribosomal RNA (bases 1-120)
Source: RNAcentral